RNAcentral lists this ribosomal RNA (513 nucleotides) under uncultured bacterium. RNAcentral describes it as "partial 16S ribosomal RNA". The record is from RNAcentral.
GGAGUUAGCCGGUGCUUCUUCUGCGAGUAACGUCACAGAUGUAAGGUAUUAACUUACACCCUUUCCUCCUCGCUGAAAGUGCUUUACAACCCGAAGGCCUUCUUCACACACGCGGCAUGGCUGCAUCAGGGUUUCCCCCAUUGUGCAAUAUUCCCCACUGCUGCCUCCCGUAGGAGUCUGGGCCGUGUCUCAGUCCCAGUGUGGCUGAUCAUCCUCUCAGACCAGCUAGGGAUCGUCGCCUAGGUGAGCCUUUACCUCACCUACUAGCUAAUCCCACCUGGGCUUAUCCAUCAGCGCAAGGCCCGAAGGUCCCCUGCUUUCCCCCGUAGGGCGUAUGCGGUAUUAGCAGUCGUUUCCAACUGUUAUCCCCCACAAAUGGGCAAAUUCCCAGGCAUUACUCACCCGUCCGCCGCUCGUCAUCUUCAAAAGCAAGCUUUUGAAACUGUUACCGCUCGACUUGCAUGUGUUAGGCCUGCCGCCAGCGUUCAAUCUGAGCCAGAAUCAAAACUCUGA